UACGGGGGGGGCAAGCGUUGUUCGGAAUUACUGGGCGUAAAGGGCUUGUAGGUGGCCAACUAAGUCAGACGUGAAAUCCCUCGGCUUAACCGGGGAACUGCGUCUGAUACUGGAUGGCUUGAGUGUGGGAGAGGGAUGCGGAAUUCCGGGUGUAGCGGUGAAAUGCGUAGAUAUCGGGAGGAACACCAAUGGCGAAGGCAGCUCGCUGGGACGGUACUGACGCUGAGACGCGAAAGCGUGGGGAGCAAACAGG
This 253-nucleotide ribosomal RNA is filed under the name uncultured bacterium. RNAcentral's name for it is "partial 16S ribosomal RNA". It matches the Rfam family "Bacterial small subunit ribosomal RNA", at positions 524 to 776 of the family's 1533-position model. The record is from RNAcentral.